UACGUAGGGUGCAAGCGUUACUCGGAAUUACUGGGCGUAAAGCGUGCGCAGGCGGCUUUGCAAGACGGAUGUGAAAUCCCCGGGCUCAACCUGGGAACUGCAUUUGUGACUGCAUGGCUGGAGUGCGGGAGAGGGGGAUGGAAUUCCGCGUGUAGCAGUGAAAUGCGUAGAUAUGCGGAGGAACACCGAUGGCGAAGGCAAUCCCCUGGGCCUGCACUGACGCUCAUGCACGAAAGCGUGGGGAGCAAACAGG
Molecule: ribosomal RNA, 253 nt
Filed under: uncultured bacterium
Lineage: Bacteria
Description: partial 16S ribosomal RNA
Rfam family: Bacterial small subunit ribosomal RNA
Source: RNAcentral